GACGAACGCUGGCGGCGUGCUUAACACAUGCAAGUCGAACGGAAAGGCCCUGCUUUUGUGGGGUGCUCGAGUGGCGAACGGGUGAGUAACACGUGAGUAACCUACCCUUGACUUUGGGAUAACUUCAGGAAACUGGGGCUAAUACCGGAUAGGAGCUCCUGCUGCAUGGUGGGGGUUGGAAAGUUUCGGCGGUUGGGGAUGGACUCGCGGCUUAUCAGCUUGUUGGUGGGGUAGUGGCUUACCAAGGCUUUGACGGGUAGCCGGCCUGAGAGGGUGACCGGCCACAUUGGGACUGAGAUACGGCCCAGACGCCUACGGGAGGCAGCAGGGGGGAAUAUUGCACAAUGGGCGGAAGCCUGAUGCAGCAACGCCGCGUGCGGGAUGACGGCCUUCGGGUUGUAAACCGCUUUCGCCUGUGACGAAGCGUGAGUGACGGUAAUGGGUAAAGAAGCACCGGCUAACUACGUG
RNAcentral lists this ribosomal RNA (468 nucleotides) under uncultured bacterium. RNAcentral describes it as "partial 16S ribosomal RNA". It matches the Rfam family "Bacterial small subunit ribosomal RNA", at positions 28 to 507 of the family's 1533-position model. The record is from RNAcentral.